This 89-nucleotide unclassified non-coding RNA is filed under the name Pseudomonas sp. A214. Lineage: Bacteria; Pseudomonadati; Pseudomonadota; Gammaproteobacteria; Pseudomonadales; Pseudomonadaceae. The record is from RNAcentral.
UGUGGGAGCGAGCCUGCUCGCGAUAGCGGUCUGUCAGUUACAUCAGUGUUGGAUGUGCUGCUGCCAUCGCGAGCAGGCUCGCUCCCACA